AUUGAACGCUGGCGGCAUGCUUUACACAUGCAAGUCGAACGGCAGCACGGGGGCAACCCUGGUGGCGAGUGGCGAACGGGUGAGUAACACAUCGGAACGUGCCCAGUUGUGGGGGAUAACCUAUCGAAAGGUAGGCUAACACCGCAUGAGCUCGGCAAGAGGAAAGCGGGGGACUCAGCGAUGGGCCUCGCGCGACUGGAGCGGCCGAUGUCCGAUUAGCUAGNGGUGGGGUAAAGGCUUACCAAGGCGACGAUCGGUAGCUGGUCUGAGAGGAUGAUCAGCCACACUGGGACUGAGACACGGCCCAGACUCCUACGGGAGCAGCAGUGGGGAAUUUUGGACAAUGGGGGCAACCCUGAUCCAGCCAUGCCGCGUGAGUGAAGAAGGCCCUU
RNAcentral lists this ribosomal RNA (392 nucleotides) under uncultured bacterium. Its description in RNAcentral is "bacterial SSU rRNA". It matches the Rfam family "Bacterial small subunit ribosomal RNA", at positions 29 to 419 of the family's 1533-position model. The record is from RNAcentral.